GUUGUUUCUUUCUCUUUCUCUUUCUUUUUUUUCUUUCUUCCUUUCUUUCUUUCUUUCUUUCUUUCUUUCUUUCUUUCUUUCUUUCCUUUCUUUCUUUCUUUCUUUCUUCCUUCCUUCCUUCCUUCCUUCCUUCCUUCCUUCCUUCCUUCCUUCCUUCCUUCCUUUCUUUCUUUCUUUCUUUCUUUCUUUCUUUCUUUCUAUUUUUUUUUCUUUUUUCUUUUUGGUUUUUUGAGACAGGGUUUCUCUGUGUAGCCCUGGCUGUCCUGGAACUCACUCUGUAGACCAGGCUGGCCUCGAACUCAGAAAUCUGCCUGCCUCUGCCUUCCAAGUGCAGGGAUAAAAGGCGUGCACCACCAAGCCCAGCUCAAUGUGUUGUUUCUUAAUUGGGGAGCAGGUCUUAAAUCCAAUGAGAAAGCAAUUUGUAAUCCACUAUUGCACUGGUGGGUACCCUCCCCCAACUUGUUAUAGUUUGCAAUGUUUACCGCUGUGUAAGACAGUUAAUUUUUCUUCCAGUAUUCUAGAUAGCACCUUACAGUACUAUGGAAGACAGCCAACGGGUAGGAAGAUACCAUGAUUCCCCUUUUAAAAGCUACAUGAUUUUGUGGAUAAUUAUUAUUAUCUUUAAAGUUAGUGUAGAGUUGGGUGGGGUUGAACACACCCACAGUGAAAACAAAAACAAACUGUGAGCUCCUAUACAUUAAAACACUCAGCAUUUAGUUACAGAUUGGUGAACCAGAGAACUAUUUUAAUUGAGGAAAUUUUUAAGGUGUUUAGGGUUAUGCUUUUUGAAAGUAAUUUUAUUAAAUGUGGCAUAGACCCAGCUGUAUGUGAGUUGAAUUAAUACUGUAUUUUAAAAUUGAAACAUAUUUUUUUACUGAUUUUCCUGGAGGUGAAAAUCACAGGUGGAAAGCCCAUAACCUGGGCUCAGGUCUUCAGUCUGUUUCUAACGGUCUCCGUGACCCGAGUGAGCGAGCUACUUGAUCAGGCAGAACAUUAGUUUAUUACAUGGCAAAGCUGUUGAGUUGGCCUGGUGACCUUUCUGUGAUGUGAUAGCUUGGGCUCUGAUGAGUGCUUUUGAAUACUGUUUUGUUUUUUUUAACAGCCUAGUAUUUAUUUCCUGUUAUGUAGUCAGCCAUCAAUAUAGUUGUGAAUUCUCUAGUUCUUCUAGAUAAUUUACAUGAAUAAAGUAAAAACAAACAAACAAAAAAACCCCUUAACUUUAGGUAAUUUAUUCAGUACAACAUAUUCAAAGUCAGUUAUACAUAUAGUUUCUUUUUAAAACACACCCAUACUAUUUCAUUUUUAAAUUUUGAAAUGCUAACUAAGUCCUGUAUUUGCUGUGGAUCCAUAGAGUCCAGCAAGGACCCUGAAGGGCUCUGUCCCUCAAAGGGGCUUUGGAUUACUGAUCUGGGUUUGUGGCUGAAGUUCUGGCACUAUCAUAUUCGGGCACUGAACACAUUUAGAGAUUUUUGAGAAAGACCUUUAGUUUCUUUUUCUCCUAUCUAGGAAUGUAGCGGUUUGAGUUCUGCAUAAUCUGUUGUGAUUUAAAACUGAAUUUGUUUGCUUCUAAAUAUCUGGCAAGAGUGGCUUGUGAGUCCUUUUUAGUUCCUAGCGUUGUUUAUUCCCCCAGCCUGGUGAAAUCCGAGUUGUUCUAUCUUUAAUAGUCUCUGCCACUUCUUGGAAUAAUUCCACAAUUCCCAGGCCUCCUCACUGAUAAGUCUAUUGGCUACAAUAUUACAGUGAAGUGCUCUUUUAGCAGAGAUUGCUGUUGGGAGCUUUUUCUCUUUUAUAUUUCUUUGUCCCUGUGAUGCCUGGCCUUUCUUCCUGUGCUCUCUUAGGGCUCGGUCUGCUUUCUUCACCCCCUUCUUGCCCUUCACUUUUGCCUUUGCCCAUGAUUCUUGACCUUCUUACCUUCUUGACAUUCCCCCAAGGCUCCUGUGCUUGUAUUUUCUGGCCGUGUGCUUGACAAACCUGUAUGCUGAAAUGCUGUAUGCUCUUCUAACUCAGCCCAGCUUUCUCACCCAUUCUGGAGUUGUGCCCUCUGGUCAUUAUCAGUUCUUAACACAAUACGCUUAAUCAGAAAUCUAAGUUAGAGACUUUACCUUUAAAUCCUUGAGUUUUGCAUCCUAGUAGCUAGCCUUAGGGGGUUCAUCUACAAUAUGUUUAUUGAAUAUUCUACGUCUCACUUUUGUGGUGCUGUAGUUUAGGAACCACAGUGAUCUUUAUUUCAUUUGCCUCAUUCCUGAUGUUCCUGCUUGGUCCUUCUGUUGGCUUCUGCUAUCUUCUUGUACUGCAUAGAAGUCCUAGUUCAGUGUCUUAUUUUUAAUGCUCAAUACCCCUUUUAAUAUUUCACUCUUCUAUAAAAACCCACGAGACCUUAAAAGAUUUACAGUGGUGCAAUUUUAGGCUCCUUGUCGAACACUGAAGGGAAUGAGAUAUCAAGUGUAGUUAGUAUGACCUGCAACGUUCCCUCCACAUAGUAAUAAACUGUAGUAUUUAUAUAACACCUGUAACUAGGUUAGCAAGCAUAUAUCUUGUUUUCUGUGAAAUAUUCCUGGUAUGGAUGCUUUAGUCCCUGGGAAGCAAGAGUUGAUAGCCUCCCACUAACAAUGACUGGUGUACUCAUUAUUUACAGAUAUGCUUUGUAUACUUGUAAGCUAACAUAGAGAACCAUCUUGGUUAGCCUCUACUGAACUUUUACAGGAAAAUAGUAGAUCCCCUGAUGGAAGGAAAUAGAGAGUAAUCCUCACAGUAGCUCUAGUUGAGAUGAGAAAGCAUUACUGUUACCUGUACCUUAGUAUUUUAACUUCAACUCUCCUAGUUUCUCUGAACCCAUAUCUUAUUUCAACUGGAUAGGAUGUUCUUUUUCAUUUUUUCUUAUCUAGUGUAUAAAGAAAUGGAGUUUACUGUGGUGUUUUCAUAUUUACAUUGUACAUUGUUUUUAUUCUUCCCAAACAAGUCCCCAUUUUCUCCUUCCCCAUGCUUGUUGCUCCUACUGUCUUCUUUCAUGACUCAUGUGCAGUGUUAGUCUUUCUUGUUUCCCUUUCUUCCCUGUAGGUCACUUCUUUCUGUCGGAGAUUGGUUCUAAUGCUUUGAUUUAAUCGUGGAUCUGCAUGUUUAAUUGCUGAAGGUCCUUGUCUCCAAUUGGUUUUGAUUGAGCAAUAAAGAUGCCAGCAGCCAAUGGUUGGGCAAAGGGAAAUGGGGUGGGACCUAUAGAUUUGUAUGGGAUAGAACAUGGGAGAGAGGAGGAGAGACAGAGAAUCGAGCAUGAUGGAGUGGGAGAUAGAUCAGAUUUAGAGCUGCAGGAGAGAGAACCAAGGAGCCAUGGAAGGAUUCAGUUAAGUGGCCACUGGCCACUCCCCAAAUUGGGUCUGGAGUAGCAGGUAGAGGAUUAAAACUGCCCAGGCUUGAACUUGAGUCAGUCACAGCAUAUUAAAAUUAACUGGUGAGUGUGUGUGUGUGUGUGUGUGUGUGUGUGUAUGUGUGUGUGUGUUUCAUUUCAUUCCUAGAUACAAAGAGCUGCUGGGUGUUUGGCUGGAAGAGCAUGACCCACAAGGAGCCAAAGCAGAGUAACAAAACUCACUGCUACAUCUUCCUUUUCAUCAUUCCUUCUGUUCAUUGCACAUACACCCCCCCCCCACAUUUUAUUUAUUAUAUAUUAUUGCACUUACACAUUUAAAUCUAAAGUCUACAUGUAAGAUAAAAUAUGCAAUGUUGACUUUCUGAAUCUGGCUAGUUCUCUUUCUGUCUUAUGUAGUCCCCACUGGCUUCAAACCCAGUAUAUAUGUAGGAGAGAUAGGCAUGUCCUUGGACUCCUGGUUUUUCUGCCUCUAUUUUCAGGCAAGGAUGUUGGGCAUGCAGCACCACUCUACCUUAUGGAAGUCCACAUAGUUCUUUACAAUGCAGUGAUUUCCUUUCAGCCAUAUCAUAUGCUUUAACUGAAAACAGGCUUCCAUUGCAUACCAUCAUGGAGGAGGAUAACUAUUAGUUGGAGUACGGUAUUUCUUGGAAACUACUACUACUACUACUACUACUACUAUUACUACUACUACUACUACUACUACUACUACUUCUUUCUAAGUACUUUGACAAGAUAUGAUUUUUGCUUUUACUUCUUGAGUGUUUGUUUAAAAUAUAAUUGCUUAAUUUGAAUGAGAAUCAGUGGUCAUAGCAGCAAUGGGUAAAUUGUCUACAGAAGUAUUUUUACUUAAGUGGAGAAUGUUUGCUCUUAUCUCAGAAAAACAAGGUAAGGACUGAUCAUCAUAUUUCGUAGACUUACUUUUCUAUGAUUCCAGUGUGAACUCUCAGAUUAUUUUCUUCAUUUUCAUCAAACAUCAUCAAACAUUUAUUGUGCUUAAAUAUGAGCAAUAUCUCCGUAAACUAUG
Molecule: long non-coding RNA, 4385 nt
Filed under: Mus musculus (house mouse)
Lineage: Eukaryota; Metazoa; Chordata; Mammalia; Rodentia; Muridae
Description: long non-coding RNA chr12:41125290-41129675
Source: RNAcentral